GACGAACGCUGGCGGCGUGCUUAACACAUGCAAGUCGAACGGAAAGGCCCUGCUUUUGUGGGGUGCUCGAGUGGCGAACGGGUGAGUAACACGUGAGUAACCUGCCCUUUACUUUGGGAUAACUUCAGGAAACUGGGGCUAAUACCGGAUAGGAGCUCCUGCUGCAUGGUGGGGGUUGGACAGUUUCGGCGGUUGGGGAUGGACUCGCGGCUUAUCAGCUUGUUGGUGGGGUAGUGGCUUACCAAGGCUUUGACGGGUAGCCGGCCUGAGAGGGUGACCGGCCACAUUGGGACUGAGAUACGGCGCAGACGCCUACGGGAGGCAGAAGUGGGGAAUAUUGCACAAUGGGCGGAAGCCUGAUGCAGAGACGCCGCGUGCGGGAUGACGGCCUUCGGGUUGUAAACCGCUGUCGCCUGUGACGAAGCGUGAGUGACGGUAAUGGGUAAAGAAGCACCGGCUAACUACGUG
Molecule: ribosomal RNA, 468 nt
Filed under: uncultured bacterium
Lineage: Bacteria
Description: partial 16S ribosomal RNA
Rfam family: Bacterial small subunit ribosomal RNA
Source: RNAcentral